Cynoglossus semilaevis (tongue sole) is the source of this 70-nucleotide small nucleolar RNA. RefSeq annotates it as small nucleolar RNA SNORD61. The record is from RefSeq and is a predicted model, not a curated record. NCBI's taxonomy places the organism in Eukaryota, Metazoa, Chordata, Actinopteri, Pleuronectiformes, Cynoglossidae. The transcript has a single exon.
GCAAGGAUGAAUUUUCAUUUUGAACAGUCAUGAAAUAAUCUGAUCAUCUCCUCUAAGAAGUUCUGAGCUC